This 481-nucleotide ribosomal RNA is filed under the name Micrococcus luteus. RNAcentral's name for it is "bacterial SSU rRNA". It matches the Rfam family "Bacterial small subunit ribosomal RNA", at positions 1 to 456 of the family's 1533-position model. The record is from RNAcentral. Lineage: Bacteria; Bacillati; Actinomycetota; Actinomycetes; Micrococcales; Micrococcaceae.
AGAGUUUGAUCCUGGCUCAGGAUGAACCUUUAGAGUUUGAUUUCCUGGCUCAGGAUGAACGCUGGCGGCGUGCUUAACACAUGCAAGUCGAACGAUGAAGCCCAGCUUGCUGGGUGGAUUAGUGGCGAACGGGUGAGUAACACGUGAGUAACCUGCCCUUAACUCUGGGAUAAGCCUGGGAAACUGGGUCUAAUACCGGAUAGGAGCGUCCACCGCAUGGUGGGUGUUGGAAAGAUUUAUCGGUUUUGGAUGGACUCGCGGCCUAUCAGCUUGUUGGUGAGGUAAUGGCUCACCAAGGCGACGACGGGUAGCCGGCCUGAGAGGGUGACCGGCCACACUGGGACUGAGACACGGCCCAGACUCCUACGGGAGGCAGCAGUGGGGAAUAUUGCACAAUGGGCGCAAGCCUGAUGCAGCGACGCCGCGUGAGGGAUGACGGCCUUCGGGUUGUAAACCUCUUUCAGUAGGGAUUUAUGCGAAA